GGUUGGAUCAUUAACAAAUUCCAACUAAAAGAGCAGCCUUUCGGGGCUGUUUCUUUUAAACACCCUUGUGAACCGUUUAUUGUCUCUGGUGGGUUAAAAUGUCUAACGACAGGUUUAAUCGCCACCCACCUUUAUUAAACUCUAUUAUUUUAACAGUCUUUAAACCGUUUUGAAUUCUAUGAAUUAAAAACAACUUUUGACAACGGAUCUCUUGGUUCUCGCAACGAUGAAGAACGCAGCGAAAUGCGAUAAGUAAUGUGAAUUGCAGAUUUUCGUGAAUCAUUAAAUCUUUGAACGCACCUUGCGCCCUCUGGUAUCCCGGGGGGCAUAUCUGUUUGAGAAUCAGUUUAAACCUCACAACCUUGUGUUUUUUUAAAAGAUACAUUGGGGUGGAAUUGAGAUAUCUCUAGCUUGCUAGAGUGUCUUUAAACUGAUGACCGCCUUGAGAGUAGAAAGUACUGUUUAAAGGCAAGAUGACUGGGCAGCAAUGCUCUUAACCUUUGCUUAGUUGGCAAGUAUGGGAAGCUCUCUAUGGUAGGGACUUUUAACCAACACGAAAGCGUAAGCUUUUAAGACUUGGUCUCAAAUCAGAUAAGACUACCCGCUGAACUUAAGCAUAUCAAUAAGCGGAGGAAAAGAAACUAACAAGGAUUCCCCUAGUAACGGCGAGUGAAGCGGGAAGAGCUCAAAUUUGAAAUCUCACAGGUUCCCUGUGCGAAUUGUAGUUUAAAGAAGUGUUUUCGGAGGCAGGCUAGGUCUAAGUUUUUUGGAACAUUACAUCACAGAGGGUGAGAAUCCCGUAUGUGAUCUAGACUCUGCUUCUAUGUGAUACACUUUCAAAGAGUCGGGUUGUUUGGGAAUGCAGCCCAAAAUGGGUGGUAAAUAUCAUCUAAAGCUAAAUAUUGGCGAGAGACCGAUAGCGAACAAGUACCGUGAGGGAAAGAUGAAAAGAACUUUGAAAAGAGAGUUAAAAGUACGUGAAAUUGUCAAAAGGGAAACGCUUGAAACCAGUCUUGUUGGUAGAAUCCCAACUGGUCUUUGAUCAGCAUAUGUUUCUAUUAACAGGUCAACAUCGGUUUCUUUUGCAGUAUAAAGCUAGAGAAAGGUAGCCUCUCGGGGUAUUAUAGUCUCUAGUCAUGCUGUGAGGGAGACCGAGGUCAGCAGUGCAGCCUUGGGUACCCGGUCGCCAGUUGAAUUACCUUCUAGACAACUUGUUGAUUAGGAGGGAGCUAAGACUGCCCGGUCGGUUUGCCUCACCUGUGCUUAGGAUGUUGACAAAAUGGUUUUAAACGACCCGUCUUGAAACACGGACCAAGGAGUCUAACACAUAUGCGAGUAUUUGGGUGUUAAACCCAAGAUGCGCAAUGAAAGUAUUAAGGUGGGAUCUUCGGUGCACCAUCGACCGGUCUGGAUAUUUUUGGAAAGAUCUGAGUAAGAGCAUAUAUGUUAGGACCCGAAAGAUGGUGAACUAUGCCUGAAUAGGGCGAAGCCAGAGGAAACUCUGGUGGAGGCUCGUAGCGAUUCUGACGUGCAAAUCGAUCGUAAAAUUUGGGUAUAGGGGCGAAAGACUAAUCGAACCAUCUAGUAGCUGGUUCCCUC
This 1599-nucleotide unclassified non-coding RNA is filed under the name uncultured fungus. RNAcentral describes it as "sequence contains 18S rRNA gene, ITS1, 5.8S rRNA gene, ITS2, 28S rRNA gene". The stretch from base 578 to 1599 matches the Rfam family "Eukaryotic large subunit ribosomal RNA", at positions 1 to 961 of the family's 3401-position model. The record is from RNAcentral. Lineage: Eukaryota; Fungi.